UACACCUGAGAGGAACAAGAAACAAUCACAGAGGUAACGAGUGUGAACUGGAGUUGGGCGAGACUUUAUUUUUAUGUGGCAACUGACUGUCUUUUGACAAGCACAAGACUUGCACCAGAAUGUUGUUUAUUGAUUUUAGCUCUUUGUUUAGUCUGAUGGUUCUUAAUGAGCGGCUCUCAGAACUCAGGUGAACUUGCGUGCAACUGGCCACGGAAUGUCUACGAAGCAGACUUUGAGCGUCAGCAACGAGAAAAAAUUGAGAUUACCCACCUUCAGAGAGGAGCUCACAGCUGCAGGAGGCCACCAUGGAGAAUUCUUUGGACGGUUGGCCGUGUGGACAUGACGCGAGCUCGAUGUCAUCGCCGCUGUCCCUGAAAUACACACCACACCUAAGCACCAGUCACAUGCUUUAAGAUUGCAGAUCGAGGGGGAGCCUGGAGCCUAUCCCAGGGAACUCAGGGCACACACGGCAGGAGACACCCCGGCACAAUCGCACACUUCGGAAACGCCAAUCAGCCUACAAUGCAUGUCUAUGGACUGGAGGAGGAAACCGGAGUACCCAGACCAAACCCCCGAAGAACACACACAGGGCGGAGGCAGGAUUCGAACCCCAAUCCCCAGAGGUGCAAGGCAAAUAUUUAUCCCUGCAGUUUACCCAGGAUCUAUGCAGUCCUGGAUGUCAGCAACCCAGGAGUUCUUCUGAAGAGAGUCGAUGGUCUCCAAGAUAUACUCGCCACCAUUUUCCACCUGUGGCAGAGCACAAAGGCAUGGUGUUUGUAGGACUAGCUCACUUCCCAGCACUAUUUACCACCAGUCAAACCACACAGAUGAAUAGUUUCCAUGUUAGCGCUAUAAACUAAAGCUCUAUAGUCAAUGAGUUAAUGUUUUAAUGUUAUUAAUAUCAACUAGUGUAGAUGACAAGUUUGUAGACAAGCAAAACAAGCUGAAAUAAAGGAAUUUCGAUGCAUAAAACAUAACACCAGUGUACUCACUGUUUUGAUAAAAAAAAAUAACGAUUAAUAUUAAACACUCAAUAUUAGAGGCUCAAAAUUAAACACAGCGCUGUUGAAUCCUCAGUUCUGAUUGGUCAAAAGGUUUGAUUAAUUUUCUAUAACAGCAGCUCUGAAAGUAGAGCCGGCUGCAAGGCAGUUUAUUGUAUAUUAAUUCACUCGUUCAUGUCGCCAUUUCCAUAGUAACAGUUCAUUCACAAUUUCAAAUUUUUUAAAUAUUGUUGCUAUGGUGAAGAUUUAAGUAGAUCUUUAUUUAGCAUUUAUGCAAAGCGUCUCUAGUGGCAGCACUAAUGCUGUAACUUGCUGUGA
Molecule: long non-coding RNA, 1319 nt
Organism: Ictalurus furcatus (blue catfish)
Lineage: Eukaryota; Metazoa; Chordata; Actinopteri; Siluriformes; Ictaluridae
Exons: 4
Source: RefSeq, a predicted model, not a curated record